This 497-nucleotide ribosomal RNA is filed under the name uncultured bacterium. Its description in RNAcentral is "partial 16S ribosomal RNA". It matches the Rfam family "Bacterial small subunit ribosomal RNA", at positions 28 to 507 of the family's 1533-position model. The record is from RNAcentral.
GAUGAACGCUGGCGGCGUGCCUAAUACAUGCAAGUCGAGCGAACGGACGAGAAGCUUGCCUCUCUGAUGUUAGCGGCGGACGGGUGAGUAACACGUGGAUAACCUACCUAUAAGACUGGGAUAACUUCGGGAAACCGGAGCUAAUACCGGCUAAUAUUUUGAACCGCAUGGUUCAAAAGUGAAAGACGGUCUUGCUGUCACUUAUAGAUGGAUCCGCGCUGCAUUAGCUAGUUGGUAAGGUAACGGCUUACCAAGGCAACGAUGCAUAGCCGACCUGAGAGGGUGAUCGGCCACACUGGAACUGAGACACGGUCCAGACUCCUACGGGAGGCAGCAGUAGGGAAUCUUCCGCAAUGGGCGAAAGCCUGACGGAGCAACGCCGCGUGAGUGAUGAAGGUCUUCGGAUCGUAAAACUCUGUUAUUAGGGAAGAACAUAUGUGUAAGUAACUGUGCACAUCUUGACGGUACCUAAUCAGAAAGCCACGGCUAACUACGUG